CUUUGACAGCUGAGAGUGUCAGGCUUCUGCUGUGAUCGUGACUGGACCAAACAUUCACUUCUGGGUCUGACUGACCUCUAGGAGGAUCGGAUGCAAGAAGAGGUCAAACUGUACCCAUUAAAGUGGGCAGCAAAACAAACAAACAGUACCAAAGGGGUGCAGAGAGGAAGCUGAUGAGGCUGCAGAUCAAGAUGAUCAACACAAGAGAAUGAAGUUCAUGACUGCCGAUGAGGCCCGAGGGUGGGAGGGUGUUGAAUGUAGAUGAGGUGAUGAGGACGGGGUUCUUGGGUCUACGAUCGCUUUUUCCUGCUCUCAAAAUUUCUGAAGUUGGCCGGCCUGAUCUUCAUCUCUGCAAAUUCAAUUGAGUGUUCGUGGCCUUUCCAGUGGAACCAGUUGAUUCCCUGCAGAAAUACAGAAGACAAACCAUGGGAAAGAGCCUCACAAUAGAGAGAUCUCUAACACAUCAUCAUCUCUCUCUAAACCACACACCAUACCAUGUGUGGACAUGGAGGGGAUUCUCCAGGAAUAAAUCUGGUUUGUGUCUUCAUUACAACAAAAGGAUGAGAAGUAAACAGUUGCUUACACAUCAGAAACAUUGGAGAGUGUGGAACAUUUAAUGUAGAGCACUCAUUUUUGCUUGAAAAUGUAAAAAAAAAAAAGCUGUGUUUUGGGAAAUAGUGUGUAAAAUGUUAUAGCAAGUACUAAAAUAUAUACUCCCAUGAGUUGUGUGGCA
Molecule: long non-coding RNA, 733 nt
Organism: Epinephelus fuscoguttatus (brown-marbled grouper)
Lineage: Eukaryota; Metazoa; Chordata; Actinopteri; Perciformes; Serranidae
Exons: 2
Source: RefSeq, a predicted model, not a curated record